Pocillopora damicornis (cauliflower coral) is the source of this 73-nucleotide non-coding RNA. The record is from the annotation of a RefSeq genome assembly. Lineage: Eukaryota; Metazoa; Cnidaria; Anthozoa; Scleractinia; Pocilloporidae.
GUUCCUGUAGUGUAGUGGUUAUCACAUCCGCCUCACACGCGGAAGGUCGCAAGUUCGAGCCUUGCCAGGAACA